RNAcentral lists this ribosomal RNA (254 nucleotides) under uncultured bacterium. Its description in RNAcentral is "partial 16S ribosomal RNA". It matches the Rfam family "Bacterial small subunit ribosomal RNA", at positions 524 to 776 of the family's 1533-position model. The record is from RNAcentral.
GACAGAGGUGCCAAGCGUUAGGCGGAAUCACUGGGCUUAAAGCGUGUGUAGGCGGAUCGUUAAGUACCUUGUGAAAUCCCACGGCUCAACCGUGGAACUGCUGGGUAUACUGGCGGUCUUGAGCCACCUAGGGGCAACUGGAACAAGCGGUGGAGCGGUGAAAUGCGUAGAUAUCGCUUGGAACGCCAACGGUGAAAACAGGUUGCUGGGGGUGUGCUGACGCUGAGACACGAAAGCCAGGGGGAGCGAACGGG